CGUAGGGGGCAAGCGUUGUCCGGAUUUAUUGGGCGUAAAGAGCGUGUAGGCGGUUAUACAGGUCCGCUGUGAAAACUGGAGGCUUAACCUCCAGACGUCGGUGGAAACCGUAUAACUAGAGUCCGGAAGAGGAGAGUGGAAUUCCUGGUGUAGCGGUGAAAUGCGCAGAUAUCAGGAAGAACACCCGUGGCGAAGGCGGCUCUCUGGGACGGUACUGACGCUGAGACGCGAAAGCGUGGGGAGCGAACAGGAUUAGAUGCCCUGGUAGUCCACGCCGUAAACGAUGGGUGCUAGGUGUGGGGGGUGUCGACUCCCUCCGUGCCGCAGCUAACGCAUUAAGCACCCCGCCUGGGGAGUACGGCCGCAAGGCUA
RNAcentral lists this ribosomal RNA (372 nucleotides) under uncultured organism. Its description in RNAcentral is "bacterial SSU rRNA". It matches the Rfam family "Bacterial small subunit ribosomal RNA", at positions 526 to 896 of the family's 1533-position model. The record is from RNAcentral.